This 888-nucleotide ribosomal RNA is filed under the name Russula virescens. Its description in RNAcentral is "eukaryotic LSU rRNA". It matches the Rfam family "Eukaryotic large subunit ribosomal RNA", at positions 82 to 943 of the family's 3401-position model. The record is from RNAcentral. Lineage: Eukaryota; Fungi; Basidiomycota; Agaricomycetes; Russulales; Russulaceae.
AGUAACGGCGAGUGAAGCGGGAAAAGCUCAAAUUUAAAAUCUGGUGGCCUUUGGCCAUCCGAGUUGUAAUUUAGAGAAGCGUCUUCCGCGCUGGACCGUGCACAAGUCUCCUGGAAUGGAGCGUCAUAGAGGGUGAGAAUCCCGUCUUUGGCACGGACUCCCGGUGCUUCUGUGAUGCGCUCUCAAAGAGUCGAGUUGUUUGGGAAUGCAGCUCAAAAUGGGUGGUGAACUCCAUCUAAAGCUAAAUACUGGCGAGAGACCGAUAGCGAACAAGUACCGUGAGGGAAAGAUGAAAAGCACUUUGGAAAGAGAGUGAAACAGUACGUGAAAUUGUUGAAAGGGAAACGCUUGAAGUCAGUCGCGUUGACCGAGACUCAGCCUUGCCUCGGCUUGGUGUGCUUCUCGGCUCGACGGGUCAGCAUCAAUUUCGAUCCUCGGAUAAUGGCAAGGGAAAGGUGGCACCUUUUUUAGGUGUGUUAUAGUCCUCUGUCGCAUGCGAGGCUCGGGAUUGAGGAACUCAGCAUGCGCCUCUGGGUGCCGGGGCCGCUUGGCCUACGUUACGUGCUUAGGAUGCUGGCAUAAUGGCUUUAAACGACCCGUCUUGAAACACGGACCAAGGAGUCUAACAUACCCGCGAGUGUUCGGGUGGAAAACCCGUGCGCGUAAUGAAAGUAAAAGUUGGGACCUCUGUCGUGGAGGGCACCGACGCCCGGACCAGACCUUCUGUGACGGCUCUGCGGUAGAGCGUGUAUGUUGGGACCCGAAAGAUGGUGAACUAUGCCUGAAUAGGGUGAAGCCAGAGGAAACUCUGGUGGAGGCUCGUAGCGAUUCUGACGUGCAAAUCGAUCGUCAAAUUUGGGUAUAGGGGCGAAAGACUAAUCGAACCAU